Acanthosepion pharaonis is the source of this 103-nucleotide non-coding RNA. NCBI's taxonomy places the organism in Eukaryota, Metazoa, Mollusca, Cephalopoda, Sepiida, Sepiidae. The record is from the annotation of a GenBank genome assembly.
CCGUAUCACGCUGAGAAACCAGUUCCCAUACGACCACCAAAGUUAAGCAACUUUAAGUAUUAUCAGUACCUAGAUGGGUGAUCGUUUAGGAAUACCAGGUGCC